This 497-nucleotide ribosomal RNA is filed under the name uncultured bacterium. Its description in RNAcentral is "partial 16S ribosomal RNA". It matches the Rfam family "Bacterial small subunit ribosomal RNA", at positions 28 to 507 of the family's 1533-position model. The record is from RNAcentral.
GAUGAACGCUGGCGGCGUGCCUAGUACAUGCAAGUCGAGCGAACAGACGAGGAGCUUGCUCCUCUGACGUUAGCGGCGGACGGGUGAGUAACACGUGGAUAACCUACCUAUAAGACUGGGAUAACUUCGGGAAACCGGAGCUAAUACCGGAUAAUAUAUUGAACCGCAUGGUUCAAUAGUGAAAGACGGUUUUGCUGUCACUUAUAGAUGGAUCCGCGCCGCAUUAGCUAGUUGGUAAGGUAACGGCUUACCAAGGCAACGAUGCGUAGCCGACCUGAGAGGGUGAUUGGCCACACUGGAACUGAGACACGGUCCAGACUCCUACGGGAGGCAGCAGUAGGGAAUCUUCCGCAAUGGGCGAAAGCCUGACGGAGCAACGCCGCGUGAGUGAUGAAGGUCUUCGGAUCGUAAAACUCUGUUAUUAGGGAAGAACAAAUGUGUAAGUAACUAUGCACGUCUUGACGGUACCUAAUCAGAAAGCCACGGCUAACUACGUG